UUUAGAAGUGGCACAGAAUCGGAAAUGGCGACUGUUUAUUAAAACACAGGACAAUGCUAAAUAGAAAUAUGAUGUAUAUUGUCUGACUCCUGCCCAGUGCUUGAAAGUAAAAUGAAUAUUUUAAAAGGUAUUUGUAUAAGCUCAAGUAAACGGCGGCUGUAACCUUGACGGUCUUAAGGUAGCGAAAUCCCUAGUCAAUUAAUUGUUGACGUGCAUGAAUGGAGUAACACUGUUUUACUGUCUCGGGCUUUUGUACUGUGAAUUCAUAAUUGUCGUGAAGAUACGACAUUCCUAUAGUGGGACGGAAAGACCCUAUGCAGCUUUACUAUAAUUUUAGAGUGUUUGAAAUUCUUUAAGUAUGUAGGAUAGGUAUAAGCUUAUAAUUUCUUAACGGCAAGUUAAUAGA
This 406-nucleotide ribosomal RNA is filed under the name uncultured bacterium. Its description in RNAcentral is "bacterial LSU rRNA". It matches the Rfam family "Bacterial large subunit ribosomal RNA", at positions 1769 to 2182 of the family's 2925-position model. The record is from RNAcentral.